Molecule: long non-coding RNA, 389 nt
Organism: Esox lucius (northern pike)
Lineage: Eukaryota; Metazoa; Chordata; Actinopteri; Esociformes; Esocidae
Source: Ensembl
GGGCAGUGCUGGGUGCUGAUGGCCAUUUUGUGUCCUCUCAGUGCUGCUUUAGUGGGACUGUUGGCCUUUAUUCUUACCUGGAUCCUUCACAGAAAAGGAAACAAUGAAUCAGACAGAAUAAAAACAGCCCAGGGACACAGCAACGAUGUACAGGGUAUGGAACAGGUAGUGCUUUACACCUCCUUCUGUUUGUCAAAUGGAGAUCAUCGUGGCAAAAGAAAAAACACACAUCAUUAAUGUGAUCCUGUGUAUCUUUAUCAGCUAAUGUUACAUAAUAUGAACAUGCUGAAUAUGUAUGUUUUAUGUGAGUACAUUUUCUAGUACAGAUAUCUACCUUGUGUACUGCAGUUGUACUAUGUUGUCCUAUUAAAUAUACAUUCAUUUUCUGC